Transfer RNA from Sphaerobolus stellatus SS14, 81 nucleotides. It matches the Rfam family "tRNA". From Rfam's summary of the family: Transfer RNA (tRNA) molecules are approximately 80 nucleotides in length. NCBI's taxonomy places the organism in Eukaryota, Fungi, Basidiomycota, Agaricomycetes, Geastrales, Sphaerobolaceae. The record is from Rfam.
GACCAUGUGGUUUAAUGGUAUAACAUUUGCUUAGCAUUUGUGGUUUGCGAAAGGUCCAGCGUUCAAUUCGCCGCUUGUCCA